CCUACGGGUGGCAGCAGUGGGGAAUAUUGCACAAUGGGGGAAACCCUGAUGCAGCGACGCCGCGUGAGUGAAGAAGUACUUCGGUAUGUAAAGCUCUAUCAGCAGGGAAGAAAAUGACGGUACCUGUUUAAGAAGCCCCGGCGAACUACUAGCCAGCAGCCGCGGCAAUACGUAGGGGGCAAGCGUUAUCCGGAUUUACUGGGUGUAAAGGGAGCGUAGGCGGCAGCACAUGUCUGUAGUGAAAUGCCGGGGCUUAACCCCGGAACUGCUUUGGAAACUGUGCAGCUAGAGUGCAGGAGAGGUAAGUGGAAUUCCUAGUGUAGCGGUGAAAUGCGUAGAUAUUAGGAGGAACACCAGUGGCGAAGGCGGCUUACUGGACUGUAACUGACGUUGAGGCUCGAAAGCGUGGGGAGCAAACAGGAUUAGAUACCCUUGUAGUC
RNAcentral lists this ribosomal RNA (440 nucleotides) under uncultured bacterium. Its description in RNAcentral is "partial 16S ribosomal RNA". It matches the Rfam family "Bacterial small subunit ribosomal RNA", at positions 338 to 795 of the family's 1533-position model. The record is from RNAcentral.